AUCCUUUUGUAGUUCAUAAGUGUGAUGAUUGGGGUUUUGCACUUAUGUGUAGGAUGUGAUGACUCUCUCAAACCUUGUUAUGACAUCAGCACAUUACCUGUCUGAUG
Pongo abelii (Sumatran orangutan) is the source of this 107-nucleotide small nucleolar RNA. The record is from Ensembl. Lineage: Eukaryota; Metazoa; Chordata; Mammalia; Primates; Hominidae.